Molecule: ribosomal RNA, 415 nt
Filed under: Serratia marcescens
Lineage: Bacteria; Pseudomonadati; Pseudomonadota; Gammaproteobacteria; Enterobacterales; Yersiniaceae
Description: partial 23S ribosomal RNA
Rfam family: Bacterial large subunit ribosomal RNA
Source: RNAcentral
UUAGGCGUUGUUGGGUAGGGGAGCGUUCUGUAAGCCGUUGAAGGUGGCCUGUGAGGGUUGCUGGAGGUAUCAGAAGUGCGAAUGCUGACAUAAGUAACGAUAAAGCGGGUGAAAAGCCCGCUCGCCGGAAGACCAAGGGUUCCUGUCCAACGUUAAUCGGGGCAGGGUGAGUCGACCCCUAAGGCGAGGCUGAAAAGCGUAGUCGAUGGGAAACAGGUUAAUAUUCCUGUACUUGGUGUUACUGCGAAGGGGGGACGGAGAAGGCUAGGCUAGCCGGGCGACGGUUGUCCCGGUUUAAGCGUGUAGGGGGUGUGACCUGGUAAAUCCGGUUGCAUAUCAACCCUGAGGCGUGAUGACGAUGCACUACGGUGCAGAAGUAGUUGAUGCCCUGCUUCCAGGAAAAGCCUCUAAGCUC